GUGCUGAAGUGAGAUUGUUUUGCGAUUUUGGGCCGUACGAGGCCGCUGGCAAGAGUAUUAACGUUUGUAAAUUUUCUAGGUGUGUUCUGAGACAUUUGUAAGUGUCUUAAAAAGGAGCGACGCAUAUUGGUUGUAAAAAGUUUCGAAAUCUCUAUAGAAUUCGAUUAUGAUAACGCAUCUUUUCCUAUGUGGGAGUAUACGAGUAUACGCACCCACUCCCCCCCCCCUUUUUAUAGAGGGGGAUAGCUAAACUCGUCAUUCGACGAGCUGCCUACGUACCUCUUUCGAGGAUCAAGCCAUC
Molecule: long non-coding RNA, 301 nt
Filed under: Brassica napus (rape)
Lineage: Eukaryota; Viridiplantae; Streptophyta; Magnoliopsida; Brassicales; Brassicaceae
Description: long non-coding RNA (BNAP_LNC019454)
Source: RNAcentral